This 484-nucleotide ribosomal RNA is filed under the name uncultured bacterium. Its description in RNAcentral is "partial 16S ribosomal RNA". It matches the Rfam family "Bacterial small subunit ribosomal RNA", at positions 30 to 507 of the family's 1533-position model. The record is from RNAcentral.
AUUGAACGCUGGCGGCGGGCCUAACACAUGCAAGUCGAGCGGAUGAAGGGAGCUUGCUCCUGGAUUCAGCGGCGGACGGGUGAGUAAUGCCUAGGAAUCUGCCUGGUAGUGGGGGAUAACGUCCGGAAACGGGCGCUAAUACCGCAUACGUCCUGAGGGAGAAAGUGGGGGAUCUUCGGACCUCACGCUAUCAGAUGAGCCUAGGUCGGAUUAGCUAGUUGGUGGGGUAAAGGCCUACCAAGGCGACGAUCCGUAACUGGUCUGAGAGGAUGAUCAGUCACACUGGAACUGAGACACGGUCCAGACUCCUACGGGAGGCAGCAGUGGGGAAUAUUGGACAAUGGGCGAAAGCCUGAUCCAGCCAUGCCGCGUGUGUGAAGAAGGUCCUCGGAUUGUAAAGCACUUUAAGUUGGGAGGAAGGGCAGUAAGUUAAUACCUUGCUGUUUUGACGUUACCAACAGAAUAAGCACCGGCUAACUUCGUG